AAGAUGUUGAAGGCAGAAAGGCAACAAAAGUUUGCUCGAAUAUUUGCUUAACGAUGGACAUGGAACAUGAAGCUAUAUCACUGAGAAAAGUUUGCAGGGUCCAAGCACAGUGUUCAAGAGUCCACUAUAGUCGGAAAUGUAGAUGAUGUUAACUUAACAGAGGCACAUGAGAAGGGCGUCUGCUACGGAAUUCUUUAUCCAACAGAGUCCGAGCUCAGAUAUACUUGCACAUGCACUAUAUUCAAGUGUCAGAUGAACCACCGACCUGAACUGUACUUGGAUUAGCGUUGCUGGCUGGCGUACCAUUGGGCGCGGUUUAGAAUGCUGGAAGAAGCAUGAAUGUUUGAGGGGAAAAAAGAACAUGCUAAAGAACAAGAUUGCUGAAAUCAGGGAAAAAACAUGCUAAAGAACAAGCAUAGCUUGUUUGGAUUACGAGGUAGAGUGAGAAGUGGAAGGGGUACCAGUCCGUCUCCAAUUUGCCACCAGGUAACGCUUCUAACCAUCCUGAGCACAAGCAUCCAACGGCUACUGUGAGCAUCAUCUGCAUUGGACAUUGAAUCACGCACAAGUCCACAACAGCGGGCAGCGGUGCCACCUUCAGUGCCCAGCGGGCAUCACCUCAAGAAUGACUAGUUCCAAUAAUCAGUUCG
Long non-coding RNA from Stegodyphus dumicola, 650 nucleotides. The record is from RefSeq and is a predicted model, not a curated record. Lineage: Eukaryota; Metazoa; Arthropoda; Arachnida; Araneae; Eresidae.